AGCUCCAAUAGCGUAUAUUAAAGUUGUUGCGGUUAAAAAGCUCGUAGUUGGAUCUCGGCGGGCAGGGGGCGGUUCGUUGUAUGACGCUACUGUUCCAUUUGCCCGUGUUUUUGGCGGAGGUUUCAGGGUGCUCUUAACCGAGUGCUCUGGGAUGCCGCCAGGUUUACUUUGAAAAAAUUAGAGUGCUCAAAGCAGGCUUUACACGCUUGAAUAUUCGUGCAUGGAAUAAUGAAAUAGGACGUCGCUUCUAUUUUGUUGGUUUUCGGAAAUCGACGUAAUGAUUAAUAGGGACAGUCGGGGGCAUUAGUAUUCAGACGACAGAGGUGAAAUUCUUGGACCGUCUGAAGACUCACUACUGCGAAAGCAUUUGCCAAGAAUGUUUUCA
Molecule: ribosomal RNA, 385 nt
Filed under: uncultured eukaryote
Lineage: Eukaryota
Description: SSU rRNA
Rfam family: Eukaryotic small subunit ribosomal RNA
Source: RNAcentral